RNAcentral lists this ribosomal RNA (445 nucleotides) under Oestroidea sp. 'McAlpine's fly'. RNAcentral describes it as "partial 16S ribosomal RNA". The stretch from base 322 to 445 matches the Rfam family "Bacterial large subunit ribosomal RNA", at positions 2473 to 2596 of the family's 2925-position model. The record is from RNAcentral. Lineage: Eukaryota; Metazoa; Arthropoda; Insecta; Diptera.
UAACUGUGCAAAGGUAGCAUAAUCAUUAGUCUUUUAAUUGAAGGCUGGUAUGAAUGGUUGGACGAGAUAUUAACUGUUUCAUGAAAAUUUAUAAUUGAAUUUUAUUUUUUAGUCAAAAAGCUAAAAUUUAUUUAAAAGACGAGAAGACCCUAUAAAUCUUUAUAUUUAAAUUAUUUUAAUUUUUUAGAUAUAUUUUGUUAUAAUAAUUAAUAAUAUUUUAUUGGGGUGAUAUUAAAAUUUAAUAAACUUUUAAUUGUUUAGAUCAUUGAUUUAUGAAUAAUUGAUCCAUUAGUAGUGAUUAAAAAAUUAAGUUACUUUAGGGAUAACAGCGUAAUUUUUUUGGAGAGUUCUUAUCGAUAAAAAAGAUUGCGACCUCGAUGUUGGAUUAAGAGAUAAGUUUAGGUGUAGCCGYUUAAAUUUUAAGUCUGUUCGACUUUUAAAUUCU